GUGGGGAAUUUUGGACAAUGGGCGCAAGCCUGAUCCAGCAAUGCCGCGUGCAGGAAGAAGGCCUUCGGGUUGUAAACUGCUUUUGUACGGAACGAAACGGUCCUGGUUAAUACCUGGGGCUAAUGACGGUACCGUAAGAAUAAGCACCGGCUAACUACGUGCCAGCAGCCGCGGUAAUACGUAGGGUGCGAGCGUUAAUCGGAAUUACUGGGCGUAAAGCGUGCGCAGGCGGUGCUGUAAGACAGGCGUGAAAUCCCCGGGCUCAACCUGGGAAUGGCGCUUGUGACUGCAAAGGUGGAGUGCGGCAGAGGGGGAUGGAAUUCCGCGUGUAGCAGUGAAAUGCGUAGAUAUGCGGAGGAACACCGAUGGCGAAGGCAAUCCCCUGGGCCUGCACUGACGCUCAUGCACGAAAGCGUGGGGAGCAAACAGGAUUAGAAACCCUAGUAGUCC
Molecule: ribosomal RNA, 450 nt
Filed under: uncultured bacterium
Lineage: Bacteria
Description: partial 16S ribosomal RNA
Rfam family: Bacterial small subunit ribosomal RNA
Source: RNAcentral